AGAAGGGAAAAUAUUCCCUACUCCACAACUUCUUCCCAACUCCGAUCCUUAAUCUUCAAUGGCUGAAUUCUCUACUCCAAAAAUCCAUUCCAAUUAAUCAAUUCCAUGAACCACCAACGCCAAAAUCCACUGGUGUUGUAACAACGUCAACCUCGACAAGUCCGAGCAAUCAUCACCCUACAUUCCGCCAUCAACGAUGAUUCCUUCUCCGUCAAUUCCUUGGAAUCCGUGCUCUGCAACGUCGACUUGCGUUCCAUUGGCGGGAAAUCAUUAUCUGAUCCUUUCAUAAGGCGUCUCAGUUUAUUUUACCUCCCAAAGAUCUACAGGCAAUUUUCUCUUUCUCCUGCGCCUUAAUUUUUACCCCCCAAAUUUCUAGGGUUUAUUUAGGAUUAUCGUCGUAGUUCGAAUAAUCUUUGAAAUACAGUCAGGCUUGUUAGUUUUUUGAAUUUUGUAACCUGAUUACUCAUUUCGAUUGUGUUUGUUGGAUUAAUUUUGUUUAAUUAUACAACCUGGUUCGUUUUUCCCCUCUUUGGCUCGGUGAAAUUUUGUUUCGGACUUUUUUCAAUUGAAGUAACAAUUCGUAUUUUUGCUCAGUUCAUAUUUGUAAUAACUCAAUCUGAUUCUUUUUAUUUAUCUCUAUGGCUGUGUGCAAUUUCUACUUGUGUCCCUCAAUGCAAUUACUGUAGCAUUCGCUUGUUUUAUGAAUUUUGUUAAAUCAUCAUCUAGAUUACUGGAUAAUCUUUGCGAUAGUUUUUUCCGGUUAUGGUUGGAAAAAUCAAUUUCUUUUCGUAAUUUAGUUUAGUGAGUUACAAUAGUGGUUCUUGUAAAUUAAUUUUUGGUACUUUUUUCAAACAAUAUUCUGUUCAACUCGAACUUGGAUGGUUCAGUUUAUAACAGAGCCUUGUAAUCCUCAAUUGUAACACAACUAGUAGUUUCCUCUAGUUCUAGGUUGAUUUGGUAAACAAUUUUGAUAGACAUAAUAGGAUAAAUAGAUAGUUUUUGAAUGUGAAUUGUUUAUCUGGUGUUGUGUGUGUGUGUGUUUGAUUGUUGUUAGGUUGUCUGCUAGUGUGUGUGUAAGAGAAGAGACAGUGUUGCCUGGCAUAUCAGGUACAGUGUAAGCAUGAUUUGUGGGUUAGGAAUUUUUCUUGAAUGAGACCUAAUAACAGUCAAAAACUCCGAGUUCUCCACCGUCCUCCACCCCUCUGAAGGUUCAUUGUCGUUUGAGCGACUGUCAUGUUCUUCGUAUUCUCAAGCAAUCCUUAUUUCACUCUACGCAGUUUUUGUUAGAUUCUUCUCGAAUUUCACUGGUAAGUUUUCCCCAUAUGAAUCACUUUUGUAAAAUUUCUAUAUGAAUUUAUUUCAAGAUUUGUUUUUUCGAGUAUAAAUUGCAAUAUUAAUAAUUGUUUGCACUUUGAAUUGAUCUCAAUCGAAUUUUGCUGAUAAUUUGUUGGUAGUUUUAUUUCAUUUUUCGAUUCCAAUGCCUCUUAAAUUUGUCUUUCGAUCUGAAUUUUUCUUUGUUAUAAAGUGAGAUUGGUAAUGAUAAAAACACAUUGUUUAAUCCCUCCCUAAAUAUUAUUGAGGUAAGAUUUAAAUUUGAAUUACUCUGGGAACUUAUUUUCGCUCAAAAUUUGUUUUGUUGGAAGUUAAAUUUGGGGUAAUAUGAGGAAUUUCUUUGUUAUAUACGAGUAACUGCCAGAUGUGGGUCUAAAUUAUUAUUGAUUCCAAUUUUAAUUUUCCCUAAAUUUCUCUCUCUUAGAGAAUUGUAAGUUUCAAUAAAUUUGAUUUCUUUUGAUUUUUCAAUGUGAAUUGCUAUCGUGUUUUUCUUCCAGAGGUCCAGCUGAUCUCAAUUUGUUUUCCAUAAGUUUCCAGCAAGUGAUAGUUGGUGCUGAUAAAAGGAAUCUCACAAUGCUCUACAGGGGAGCCAUUAUCUAGGCCUCUUUUAUCUAACGAGAGUUGCCCCGAUGCUCUACCAGCAGUUAAGUCCAUAGCUCCAAAUCACAGUGUACUGGUUCUUCUAAACUGUGCAAGCUGGUUUCUUGGUGGAAUGCUGAUAGCCAAAACAAGGAUUCUGCUGCAUUAUUACAUCAAGCAUAUUGGUUAGCCUUACAUCAAGCAGAUUGGUUACUUUGGCUACUACAUGGGAAGCUAGGCAUAUCGGACUACAACAAUGCUCUUAAGGGGGUGCCCAACUCUGUGCCACGAAAUGGAUGCCUAUCCACCUUGGCUGCUCGUACAACCUUACUCGAGUGUUUUACCUUGUAUUGUAGCCCCAGGAUCUGCAAUAGCGAAUGUGAAAGAGGAUGUCAGACAAAAUUUUGGUUAAUCUUCUAAAAUUCUCAAACUGAAACUGAAUGUGGAUGAGAAAUGACAGAUGAAUUUUGUCUUCAAGGAUAUUUAGAUGGUGUACUUGAUUCACUUUUUGGUUCGUUAGUUUUAGAAACCUGUAAAACAAUGUUAUUUAUUUAUCAUCCAAUACAAUUUUAUUCUUCCAAUUCA
Spinacia oleracea (spinach) is the source of this 2496-nucleotide long non-coding RNA. RefSeq lists it as uncharacterized. Lineage: Eukaryota; Viridiplantae; Streptophyta; Magnoliopsida; Caryophyllales; Amaranthaceae. The transcript has 4 exons. The record is from RefSeq and is a predicted model, not a curated record.